UUGGACCUGAUAUCAAACAAGACAAACCGCGGAAACAUAAGCAUAUAGUUAAGCCGAGGAGAAGAAACAAACAGGAUGUCCCAGUAAGGC
This 90-nucleotide ribosomal RNA is filed under the name Saprolegnia sp. WD1E. RNAcentral's name for it is "partial 28S ribosomal RNA". The record is from RNAcentral. Lineage: Eukaryota; Oomycota; Saprolegniomycetes; Saprolegniales; Saprolegniaceae.